GCUGGUUUAGCUCCAAUGGUAGAGCAACUGACUUGUAAUCAUCAGGUCGCCAGUUCGAUUCCGGUAGCCGGCACCA
RNAcentral lists this transfer RNA (76 nucleotides) under Escherichia coli. RNAcentral's name for it is "tRNA-Thr". It matches the Rfam family "tRNA". From Rfam's summary of the family: Transfer RNA (tRNA) molecules are approximately 80 nucleotides in length. Their secondary structure includes four short double-helical elements and three loops (D, anti-codon, and T loops). Further hydrogen bonds mediate the characteristic L-shaped molecular structure. tRNAs have two regions of fundamental functional importance: the anti-codon, which is responsible for specific mRNA codon recognition, and the 3' end, to which the tRNAs corresponding amino acid is attached (by aminoacyl-tRNA synthetases). tRNAs cope with the degeneracy of the genetic code in two manners: having more than one tRNA (with a specific anti-codon) for a particular amino acid; and 'wobble' base-pairing, i.e. permitting non-standard base-pairing at the 3rd anti-codon position. RNAcentral also lists the same sequence under 15 other names. Lineage: Bacteria; Pseudomonadati; Pseudomonadota; Gammaproteobacteria; Enterobacterales; Enterobacteriaceae. The record is from RNAcentral.